UCCAGACUCCUACGGGAGGCAGCAGUGAGGAAUAUUGGUCAAUGGCCGAGAGGCUGAACCAGCCAAGUCGCGUGAGGGAUGACGGCCCUACGGGUUGUAAACCUCUUUUGCCGGGGAGCAAAGAGCGGGACGCGUCCCGCCUCGAGAGUACCCGGAGAAAAAGCAUCGGCUAACUCCGUGCCAGCAGCCGCGGUAAUACGGAGGAUGCGAGCGUUAUCCGGAUUUAUUGGGUUUAAAGGGUGCGUAGGCGGGAUGCCAAGUCAGCGGUAAAAAUGCGGUGCUCAACGCCGUCGAGCCGUUGAAACUGGCGUUCUUGAGUGGGCGAGAAGUAUGCGGAAUGCGUGGUGUAGCGGUGAAAUGCAUAGAUAUCACGCAGAACUCCGAUUGCGAAGGCAGCAUGCCGGCUCCACACUGACGCUGAGGCACGAAAGCGUGGGUAUCGAACAGGAUUAGAUACCCUCGUAC
This 465-nucleotide ribosomal RNA is filed under the name uncultured bacterium. RNAcentral describes it as "bacterial SSU rRNA". It matches the Rfam family "Bacterial small subunit ribosomal RNA", at positions 330 to 793 of the family's 1533-position model. The record is from RNAcentral.